CAGAGCAGAAACCACCAGCCCACUGCGGCAGCAGAGGGGCCUAUGGCUGGGGCUGUGGGAACAGGGAAGUUGCACCCAGGGCCCCACCCACAGGCACCGUUGCUUACCCUGCCUGGUGCACGGGUCAGUGAAGGGAGUGGCUGCCCUUCUGCUCAGCCCGGUCUUGGUCCCAUUACUUUCUCCGUUUGUUCUGCUGAAGAGAGCCAGGAGGAAGUGAAGUGUCCCCUCCAAGGUCAAGGCAGCCUGCAAACCCCACCUGCCCGCUGAGCCCAUCGUUUCUUUGAUCACAAUGGGUUUCAAGCAGGAAGAUUGCCCUGUCCUGAGGACAGCACAGCCAGCUUCAUGGGCACUUGACAUGAAAACCUCCGGUGGCCUCAGUACCCAGCUUCCAGCUGUCUUGGCAGAUGUUCCGUCCACAAGUUCCAGGAAGUUCAGCAAUGCUUCUGCACUGGGUUCAGCCAGAGCUGACACGAUAAAACAGCAUGUGAGCAUCUCUGGAGUUGGUGUCCCCAGAGUCCGCCUCCUGGAUAUUGCCAGCUGCCUGGACCAACCUUUCCGAAAGAUCAGCCAGGUCACAGUGAGGGUCAAAGCCCCCUUCCUCAGUCUCUUGCUCCAAAUCCUGGACCACACACUGCGUGCUAUGGCUCCAUUGCUGUGCUGGGUGAGGGGUGCAGGACUGUCCAGCUGAGAGCCACCCAGGAGGCCCACCCA
Molecule: long non-coding RNA, 711 nt
Filed under: Piliocolobus tephrosceles (Ugandan red Colobus)
Lineage: Eukaryota; Metazoa; Chordata; Mammalia; Primates; Cercopithecidae
Description: lncRNA (ENSPTEG00000003360.1)
Source: RNAcentral